GGGGGGGGUUGACAGGGCCUCGUGUGAAGCUGUGGGUGGAAUUUAGCUCAGGGAGAGCGCCUUCACCUCUACGUGUAGGUUUAGGGGCUGGAUGUGGCCUUUUUUUGUGAGACUUGGGGCAGAAUUUACCUCAAGAGGAGACCCUUAAUGCCCCAACGUAGCUCUGGAGGAGGGGGGGUGUUGGUUUUUCUUAGGGGGAGCUCCUUCACCCCCUCAGUUAGAGCUGUAAGGGGGGGGGGGGACGCGGCCUUUUGUGAGGUUGAGUGCAACGCUCACCUCAGGGAGAGCCGCUUCACCCUCGCUAAUUGCUCCGGAGGAGGCAGAACGUGCCUCCUUGUGAGGCUGGCAGCGAUGUUUUCCUCAGGGGGAGCCUCCUGGCCCCCAAAUGUAGGGGGGGGGACACAGCUCUUUGUGAUGCUGGGAGCAGCGUUUACCUCAGUGAGAGCCUGGGGUGGCUGUGGGUUUCUAUGGGGCUGAGAGCAGGACCCCCGCCACCACCCCAAGGGAUGAUUUCUGCCCUUCCUCUGCUGGGGUUCGGCGUGGAGCCCCCCCCCCCCGGCUCUUCCCUCAAUCCAUUUUUCCUUGGUGUUUUUCAGGAGGUUCCUCCCGGCAUGGAGCACUUCCCCUUCGCCGACGACAGCUCCGUGAGCCUGGAGAUCCAGCUGCUGAGCUUCACGGGGAGCCCCGCGCUGCCCCCCAGCCCGGAGCUGAGCCUGCAGGACGCGGACGCGGCCCCCCCGGAUGAUGCGGCCCCCCCGGAUGACGCAGCCCCCCCGGAUACGGCCGGCGACGCGCUGGAGGACAGCCUGAGCGUGCUGACCCUGUGCCCAGCAAGGGAAUGGGACGGCGAGGCGCAGCACGAGCUCCAUCCACGCGGGUAGGGCUGCAGGAAACCGUAACGACCGCAUCCCUCUUCUGCAGGGAUUUCGCUUUUAUCCUCUUUCCUUGAGAUCACCCCCUCGGUAGGAACACGUGGGAUUCCUUUAUCCCUUCCCCGAGAGUUUUUGCAGCCCGCUCUCCAGCUGGAGAUGGAAAACGUGGAGGCAUUAAAGUGACAGAUCCGCUCGGCGCCUCCCAAACAUCCCCGUUACCGCUUCCCCUGCGGCCCGGAGGAGACGUUCUGCUUCAUUCUUCUCGCAUUAUGGGAUGGAUUAAGCAGAACGGGCUCUUUCUCCUCUCCUUGAGGGAACGGGCGGCUUAAUUGCUGAUGAAAAGCACCCGCUUUUAGCGCCCGGGAAGCAAAACAAAUGGAAACCCAGCGCCCCGAAAGCUCGCCAACGGGGUAAUGAGGCUUUCUCCUAACGAGCGGGGCCGCUCCUUCCCCUGAGUCAUCCCAGUUUGGCGGCUCUGCCUCUGGGCGGGGGAAUGGUGAAUCCUCUCCCCGAGCCGAGGACGAAACCCCGCAAACAGAGCGGGCGGGGGCCGCUCUUCUUCCCUCUUCUUUCCCAAAUUAAAGAGGAAACGGUGAAAUUCCUUACGGAGAGGUUGGGA
Molecule: long non-coding RNA, 1491 nt
Filed under: Numida meleagris (helmeted guineafowl)
Lineage: Eukaryota; Metazoa; Chordata; Aves; Galliformes; Numididae
Description: lncRNA (ENSNMEG00000001487.1)
Source: RNAcentral